GCGCCGGAAGCAUAGAUGCGAUGCGCCUGACCACCAGCCAGGAAUGAGGGUGGUUCAAUUCCGUCCCGGCGCU
RNAcentral lists this transfer RNA (73 nucleotides) under bacterium. RNAcentral's name for it is "tRNA-Gly". The record is from RNAcentral.